ACGGAGCUCCAGCCAGGGCCGCGGUUCGCCUGCACGUCACGGCUACUCAAACCCAAGCACGUCCCGAAAGCGGUAUUUUCUGCGUCUGGGAGGUUUUUGCAUCCUCAGUUCCCACCGCUGGGGCUGGCGGCGACCAACUAAGUCCCACUUUAUCAUUAAUGAUGACAAUAACUAAGGCUGCCAGGAACAGCACAUCUGCUGAGCUUUAUCAACACCAGAUUCUCUCAUUUUGCCUUCUGGAUCUCCAUGCUUUUUUAUACCAACAAACAAGAGGAAGAAUAUUCUCUACCCACUUCCUUGACUGAAGCCUGCUCUUUUAUGAAGACAUGGCAUCUCUUCCAACCGUGUCAAACAGAUGCAAUUUAUAUGUCUGCUGCUUCCAUACCCUGAUUAAAUGGGUCAGUGGCAGAAUCAGUAUCCUUAGUCUCCCCUUUGGUUUCAAAUAUGUACUCCUUAUUUCAGUUUCAUGCUCACCUUUCUGUAGAGACCAAGGCAUCUGCCUUUGCAGCUUUACCUCUUCCUCCAGGUUAUAGUUUCCAUUCAUGGAAUCUUUUAGCUGCUGGCUGGCAGUUUUCCUGUCUACCUGACUUCCAUUCCUCUUCUCAUGACUUCAGCUCCCAUGCAGAUGUCUUAUCCUGACAUACUAGCUUCUCCAUUCUAUUUCUGUGUGUGUGUGUCUGUGUGUUUCCCUACUAGUUCAUCCACAUUUCCCUAUGGUCUUU
This 722-nucleotide long non-coding RNA is filed under the name Homo sapiens (human). RNAcentral describes it as "non-protein coding lnc-LMBRD1-5:19". Lineage: Eukaryota; Metazoa; Chordata; Mammalia; Primates; Hominidae. The record is from RNAcentral.